CGGGAGGCAGCAGUGGGGAAUAUUGGACAAUGGGCGCAAGCCUGAUCCAGCCAUACCGCGUGUGUGAAGAAGGCCUUCGGGUUGUAAAGCACUUUAAGCAGGGAGAAAAAGUUAUAGGUUAAUACCCUAUGACCUUGAUGUUACCUGCAGAAUAAGCACCGGCUAAUUCCGUGCCAGCAGCCGCGGUAAUACGGAAGGUGCAAGCGUUAAUCGGAAUUACUGGGCGUAAAGCGCGCGUAGGUGGUUUGUUAAGUUGGAUGUGAAAGCCCUGGGCUCAACCUAGGAACUGCAUCCAAAACUAACUCACUAGAGUACGAUAGAGGGAGGUAGAAUUCAUAGUGUAGCGGUGGAAUGCGUAGAUAUUAUGAAGAAUACCAGUGGCGAAGGCGGCCUCCUGGAUCUGUACUGACACUGAGGUGCGAAAGCGUGGGUAGCGAACAGGAUUAGAUACCCUGGUAGUCCACGCCGUAAACGAUGACAACUAGCUGUUGGGAGACUAUGUCUUUCAGUGGCGCAGCUAACGCUUUAAGUUGUCCGCCUGGGGAGUACGGCCGCAAGGCUAAAACUCAAAUGAAUUGACGGGGACCCGCACAAGCGGUGGAGCAUGUGGUUUAAUUCGAUGCAACGCGAAAAACCUUACCUACUCUUGACAUACUUGGAGGCUCUUGUAAUGAGAGCGUGCCUUUUGGAACCAAGAUACAGGUGCUGCAUG
This 712-nucleotide ribosomal RNA is filed under the name uncultured SAR86 cluster bacterium. RNAcentral describes it as "bacterial SSU rRNA". It matches the Rfam family "Bacterial small subunit ribosomal RNA", at positions 342 to 1047 of the family's 1533-position model. The record is from RNAcentral. Lineage: Bacteria; Pseudomonadati; Pseudomonadota; Gammaproteobacteria.